RNAcentral lists this long non-coding RNA (233 nucleotides) under Glycine max (soybean). Its description in RNAcentral is "long non-coding RNA (GMAX_LNC003225)". Lineage: Eukaryota; Viridiplantae; Streptophyta; Magnoliopsida; Fabales; Fabaceae. The record is from RNAcentral.
GGAAAUGCUAGAUACAGGGAAAUUAGUGUUUUUUCAUUGUUCUAACUGGUCUAUGUUUAUUCACAUGUAUCUGGUGAUCAGGCUCAGAAUUCCAAAUAGUAAAACAAUGGUAUACUAUGGUUUGCUUCUAAGUUUAUUCCUCAAUUUCUAUUUAUUCAAACUAAGUUGUUUGCGAUCCAAAUCUGAAGUUGAUAUUAUCAUCCCAAUAUCUCGAAGAGUUUAAUUAUUCAAAC